This 262-nucleotide ribosomal RNA is filed under the name unidentified marine bacterioplankton. RNAcentral's name for it is "partial 16S ribosomal RNA". It matches the Rfam family "Bacterial small subunit ribosomal RNA", at positions 49 to 339 of the family's 1533-position model. The record is from RNAcentral.
UAAUACAUGCAAGUCGAACGAGAUCUUCGGAUCUAGUGGCGCACGGGUGCGUAACGCGUGGGAAUCUGCCCUUGGGUUCGGAAUAACUUCUGGAAACGGAAGCUAAUACCGGAUGAUGACGUAAGUCCAAAGAUUUAUCGCCCAAGGAUGAGCCCGCGUAGGAUUAGCUAGUUGGUGAGGUAAAAGCUCACCAAGGCGAUAAUCAAUAGCUGAUUUGAGAGGAUGAUCAGCCACACUGGGACUGAGAUACGGCCCAGACUCC